Molecule: long non-coding RNA, 1276 nt
Filed under: Gossypium barbadense (sea-island cotton)
Lineage: Eukaryota; Viridiplantae; Streptophyta; Magnoliopsida; Malvales; Malvaceae
Description: long non-coding RNA (GBAR_LNC015538)
Source: RNAcentral
UCACUAGUAAUUUUUGCGAAAAAUUUUCUGAUUUGAAGCGAGCCCACACUCGGCAGACGUGAAUUUGAGGAUAACAAAAAAGACUACUGCAUCGAAGAGCUCAUCCUAGACGAAUCGGAGAGGUACAAUUUUGAUUAAAUGUUUAUUACUUUAGAUAUCACAACUAAGACCUUAUUUUGGAGAAAAUUUUAAAACUCUAUUUUCUCUAAAUUUAUUUUCUUCUGCGUUUUCCAAACCUGUUUUUUUCAACACAUGUCAUGUUGAUGUACAAAAACUUUUUUUAAUAGUAAAAAUAUAUAAUUUUUUAAUAAAAUGACAAAUUAACUAUUUGAUCUAAUAUAUAGAGACUAAUUUACCUAAGGGCGAAGCCAGAAUAAUUUUUUAGAGCUUAAAUAAAAAAAAUUCAUUUUAGGAGAGAUCGGUCCUCUACCAACCCCUAGAUUCGCCUCUAAAUUUACCUUUUAAUAGAAAAAAAAACAAUUAAAGUCAUAGUAAAAAAUCUUCAUUAUACCUUUACCUCUUCUGCGUAAAGAAUUAAACCUUCUUCCUAGCCCAUCAAAAUGAUCAAGUAUAAAAGCAUUACUUCAUACUCCCUACAGAUAUAAUAUUAAUUCAGAAAUUGCAAUGGAAAUGAUGAAAAUAUAUUAAGCGAUAAUGGAUAUCAAAAAGUAAACAACAACAAAAAAAGAGAAUAAAGAGGACCCACUGAUGAGUUGGAUCCAAGGUUAUCCAUAUCCCUAUCUCAGUCAACUCUUUUUCCCCCUCUUCUCUAUCCAUUUAUUCACCCAUUUUUUGUUCUUUGGAUAAUAAUAUGUCAUUUUAUUAUAUUAUUCAAUAAUAGUGUGUAUAAAUACAGUGUAACCCUUAAAAAUAUAGACAUAUUCCAUUGACGACCCUACAGCCAGAUAAAGACACCUUAGCGGCAAAAAAAAAAAAAAAAACUGGAAACAACUUAGCGGCAAAAGAUAAAAAAUUAAAACAAGUUCACUUAGGUGGCAAAAAAGAAUUUUCUGAUUUUACCGCAAAUAGUAUCGAAAGUUCCCCCUCUUUUUUCUAAUUAUAAAUAGCACUUCACACUUUCACAUUAUAUAAUUGAAAACUCGAAACAGUAAGGAAAAAAAAAUUGGUCUGUACGGAGUUAUUACCGGAUCUGAUUCCCGGUUUACCAGAGGAAAUCGGAAACGAGUGCUUGACUCGGUUUCAUUAUUCAACUCACAGACUCGCAGUUCGGGUUUGUCGACGAUGGCAAGAGCUUCUCCAAAGCAAAGAGUUUUAC